Molecule: ribosomal RNA, 441 nt
Filed under: uncultured bacterium
Lineage: Bacteria
Description: partial 16S ribosomal RNA
Rfam family: Bacterial small subunit ribosomal RNA
Source: RNAcentral
CCUACGGGUGGCAGCAGUGGGGAAUAUUGCACAAUGGGGGAAACCCUGAUGCAGCAACGCCGCGUGAAGGAAGACGGUUUUCGGAUUGUAAACUUCUGUUCUUAGUGAAGAAUAAUGACGGUAGCUAAGGAGCAAGCCACGGCUAACUACGUGCCAGCAGCCGCGGUAAUACGUAGGUGGCAAGCGUUGUCCGGAAUUACUGGGUGUAAAGAGUUCGUAGGUGGCAUAUUAAGUCUGGUGUUAAAUGCAGAAGCUCAACUUCUGUUCGGCACUGGAUACUGGUAAGCUUGAAGGCGGUAGAGGUAAAGGGAAUUCCUGGUGUAGCGGUGAAAUGCGUAGAUAUCAGGAGGAACAUCGGUGGCGUAAGCGCUUUACUGGGCCGUAAUUGACACUGAGGAACGAAAGCCGGGGUAGCAAAUGGGAUUAGAUACCCCAGUAGUC